RNAcentral lists this ribosomal RNA (406 nucleotides) under uncultured bacterium. RNAcentral describes it as "bacterial SSU rRNA". It matches the Rfam family "Bacterial small subunit ribosomal RNA", at positions 355 to 776 of the family's 1533-position model. The record is from RNAcentral.
UGAGGAAUAUUCUGCAAUGGGCGAAAGCCUGACAGAGCAAUAUCGCGUGAAGGAUGAAGGCCUAUUGGUUGUAAACUUCUUUUCUUAAGGAAGAAGAUCUGACGUUACUUAAGGAAUAAGCAUCGGCUAACUCUGUGCCAGCAGCCGCGGUAAUACAGAGGAUGCGAGUGUUAUCCGGAAUUAUUGGGCGUAAAGCGUUUGUAGAUGGAUAUUUAAGUCUUAUGUUAAAGCUCUAAGCUCAACUUAGAAAAUGCAAAAGAAACUAUAUAUCUUGAGUAUAGUAGAGGUAAAGGGAAUUUUCAGUGGAGCGGUGAAAUGCGUAGAGAUUGAAAAGAACACCAAUAGCGAAGGCACUUUACUGGGCUAUUACUGACAUUGAGAAACGAAAGCUAGGGGAGCAAACAGG